UGGCUCAGGACGAACGCUGGCGGCGUGCCUAAUACAUGCAGGUCGAGCGAGCAAACUAACAGAUUUACUUCGGUAAUGACGUUAGGAAAGCGAGCGGCGGAUGGGUGAGUAACACGUGGGGAACCUGCCUCAUAGUCUGGGAUACCACUUGGAAACAGGUGCUAAUACCGGAUAAGAAAGCAGAUCGCAUGAUCAGCUUUUAAAAGGCGGCGUAAGCUGUCGCUAUGUGAUGGCCCCGCGGUGCAUUAGCUAGUUGGUAAGAUAAAGGCUUACCAAGGCGAUGAUGCAUAGCCGAGUCGAGAGACUGAUCGGCCACAUUGGGACUGAGACACGGCCCAAACUCCUACGGGAGGCAGCAGUAGGAAUCUUCCACAAUGGACGCAAGUCUGAUGGAGCAACGCCGCGUGAGUGAAGAAGGUUUUCGGAUCGUAAAGCUCUGUUGUUGGUGAAGAAGGAUAGAAGUAGUAACUGGCCUUUAUUUGACGGUAAUCAACCAGAAAGUCACGGCUAACUACGUGCCAGCAGCCGCGGUAAUACGUAGGUGGCAAGCGUUGUCCGGAUUUAUUGGGCGUAAAGCGAGCGCAGGCGGAAGAAUAAGUCUGAUGUGAAAGCCCUCGGCUUAACCGAGGAACUGCAUCGGAAACUGUUUUUCUUGAGUGCAGAAGAGGAGAGUGGAACUCCAUGUGUAGCGGUGAAAUGCGUAGAUAUAUGGAAGAACACCAGUGGCGAAGGCGGCUCUCUGGUCUGCAACUGACGCUGAGGCUCGAAAGCAUGGGUAGUGAACAGGAUUAGAUACCCUGGUAGUCCAUGCCGUAAACGAUGAGUGCUAAGUGUUGGGAGGUUUCCGCCUCUCAGUGCUGCAGCUAACGCAUUAAGCACUCCGCCUGGGGAGUACGACCGCAAGGUG
Molecule: ribosomal RNA, 907 nt
Filed under: Lactobacillus crispatus
Lineage: Bacteria; Bacillati; Bacillota; Bacilli; Lactobacillales; Lactobacillaceae
Description: bacterial SSU rRNA
Rfam family: Bacterial small subunit ribosomal RNA
Source: RNAcentral